GGGUUCUAUUUUUUUCAACUAUUUUUGUAGUGUGACUGUUAGGUGCUUAUGUUCAUGAAAUUCAUAUCCUGGCCCUUCAAUUUAAGUGUUUAGCCCUUUUAUGAUUAGAAGAGAUGGGUGCUGGACACUUCACAAUAACAAAAGUCUACUGAAUAUUGAUGAGCAUCAUGCAUGCAUCCUUGUAACAGCAAAAUGAGAGUUGACAUUCUAUAUUGAGUUUUCCUGCAUUUUUUCCCUAUUUUUCUCUCAUGGCUUACUUUAGUUGCCAGUAUAGAUUUAGAAAACCAUUUUAUCGUUUUUCCGAUUUGAGUUAGAAAGGUUAGAUUAGAAUGAUACCAUUGGCCUGAGAUGGCAGGGAAGUUAUAUGUAACAUGCUGUUGUAGGGUGUAACUAUUACUUUUGACUUGUAA
RNAcentral lists this unclassified non-coding RNA (410 nucleotides) under Hevea brasiliensis (rubber tree). Lineage: Eukaryota; Viridiplantae; Streptophyta; Magnoliopsida; Malpighiales; Euphorbiaceae. The record is from RNAcentral.